UUAUGCAGAAUACAAAAUACACCUGCAAGGCACAAUUACUGACGAUAAAUACAGAUUUUGGAUGGUGGUAUAAAGCAUGUUAUGACUGUAAAGGAGCAGUAAAGGAUUACGACGAUAACUUUUGGUGUGGGCAAUGCGGAAAAAAUGACCAGCCUCCUGUGCCAUGGUGUGUAUUAAUAAUUUGCGAAUAUUUUAAGUUGAUGGUGAAAUAAAUUUGACUGCAUAAUAUCGAAUUAACAUAUAUAUAUAUAUAUAUAUACUUUUUUUUUCUACAAAAUAAACACUAUAAAAUGUAAAAAAAAUUUCCGACAAAAUUUUUUUUUACGAAGAAUUAUUUUUCACAGUUUUACGUUGAACCAAACAGACCUU
This 369-nucleotide long non-coding RNA is filed under the name Ananas comosus (pineapple). RNAcentral's name for it is "long non-coding RNA (ACOM_LNC035468)". Lineage: Eukaryota; Viridiplantae; Streptophyta; Magnoliopsida; Poales; Bromeliaceae. The record is from RNAcentral.